CUAACCUUGUGAACAUGUAACGAAAUAAAGAAAUCUACAUUGAAGAAAAACUAUUUUAAUUUUUUUUUUUUUUUUUUGUCCCCAGCUUUCUGAUUUGGCAUCAUGAUUCCUGUUGCUGAGUUUAAGCAGUUUACAGAGCAGCAACCUGCCUUUAAAGUCCUUAAACCCUGGUGGGAUGUCUUGGCUGAAUAUAUCACCAUUGCCAUGCUCAUGAUUGGGGUCUUUGGCUGCACCUUACAGGUAAGAAAACCUAUCUCUCCCUGUACCUAAUGUUUCAUAUUUUUAAGUGUGAUUUUCUCCCAAAUGUGUCAGUGUUCUAGUGUGUCAUUCAACUAACUAGUGAAGUCCCUACCUACUAAAAAAGUGUCAAGAUGUAAGGAAGAAAUUGCACAAUCUAGGUUAUUGCGACAUAUAGAUAAAAUACUACUUAUUCAUAGUGGUUACGGCAUGGCAUACAAUUGCCAUAACACCUGUUACAGUGAAUGAUUACUCUCAUUGCCAAUCCUGCAACCUGCAGCAAUCUUCAAUUAAGGGUCUAUUGUUAGAUCCUGGAGCAUCAAAAGACAAUUCUGUGUCACUGUUGUUCUCUUGCACAUACACAAAAGUACAUCCAAGUUCUGUAGACAAGAAAUCAGGAUCCACCAUAGAGCUUACUCAUGCAAUGAGCAAAAAGAAGCCUUGUUCUUGAUCAGUGCCUAGAGAACACUUGGACUUGAUAAAAGUUGAUGGACAAAGCUCUGUCUUUUGACAAUCUGAGCUUGAUCCAUAAGUAAAAAUAUAACCUCUGCCCAGUCUGCUUCCUAGCUGCUUACCCUAGAACGAUUCGGACCUUAGUCGCCGAGGCUUGACUGGGUUCUCUCUGGAGUCUUUUCACCUGACCUGGCUGCAGCUCUCCUUUCAGGCAGGUAUUGUUCCCUCUUCUUAUUCUGCUGCAGCCCUUCUUCCAGGCAGGUACCCACCUCUGCCUGCAAUGUGAUUCCUAUUGCCAUUACAAAGGUACUUGUGGCUCUCAAGCCUGGCUCUCUUGAUUUAGCCCAGGACUAGAGGGAUCGUGCAGAAAGCCAAAAGGCCCAAAGACUGUCACUGGGAUCCCUACAAAUCCACACACACAAGUUCUAAAAGGAACUAACAUCCAGUACUUACUUUGGACUAGCCAAUAUGUUCAUUACAUAAACCUUGCUGUGACAAACUCUAUAAAAUACAAUUAACCAAAUCAAAAAACAUACAGGAACUUAGUGACAUGACAAUUAUAAAGGUAUGGGGAAGACAAUAACUAACACAAUAUGCAAUUCUACCUAAAUAUGCAAAUUAGCACGCCUUGCUAUUCAGGUAAUGCAUAUAGCAACAGGCGGCACUGUACAGGCUCCACAGCCAUAUCCACCAAGUUGAUUGUAAGCAUUAGCAAGGCAGGAUCACACACAAACAUUUAACCCCAAUCAACCACAUUACACACACACACCGUGCACCUGCAAUGGACACAGGGUGACUUAAACAUAGGAAUCAUCCAAAGACCUAAUUUAAUUGUCCAUCUUAAACUCCUAGUGAUGGUGACUACUGUCGCAAUCCCCUACUUUGUCUUAUAUCUUUUUGAUUGAAAUAUAACUUUAUGAAAUAGUGACAGACAGAAUUCUUCAUUUUGUUUUAUGUAAUGCAUUAAUAGUUUUCACUUUUCUCAUUACUUAAUAUAUCUUGUUUGGCACUCCCUACUUUCAUGUGUUGUAUAAUAGUAUGUGCCUAAGUCACUUUCUGAAUGUAAUUAUUUUUUUUGUGUGUGCAUCUUUCACAGAUAACACAAGACAAGAUUAUUUGCCUCCCUAAUCAUACUUCAGCUGAUGAGGUUUCCCAAAUCUCCUGCAAAGAGUUUACUCAAAGUACUCCACCCACCAAUUCUAGUGAUGAUGAAUUCCCAACUUCAACACCACCUCCAGUUGUUACUUCUGGUUCUACCCGUGAGAUGACUGGCCUGCGUAACAAUCUGGAUCUUCAGCAGUACAGCUUCAUCAACCAGAUGUGCUAUGAGACUGCAUUGCACUGGUAUGCAAAAUAUUUUCCAUAUCUAGUUGUUAUCCACACACUUAUCUUCAUAAUCUGUGGAAACUUCUGGUUUAAAUUUCCUGGCACAAGCUCUAAGAUUGAACACUUUAUUUCCAUUUUGGGUAAGUGUUUUGAUUCCCCAUGGACAACUAGAGCUUUAUCUGAAGUGUCAGGAGAGUCCAAUCAAGAGAAGACAGCAGAUCGUGAACUUUCCAAGCCCAGUUUUGAGGAAAAUAGUCCUUCCUCCACUGAGCUUCCAGUUCCUGAUAAAUUGGUGGCAGAGACUGCAUCGGCUAGUGUACUAGACAAGAAAGAAGGAGAGCAAGCAAAAGCACUGUUUGAAAAGGUGAAGAAAUUUCGUCAUCAUGUGGAAGAAGGGGACAUAUUGUAUUUAAUGUACAUGAGACAGACUGUGUUAAAAGUCUGCAAAUUUGUGCUCAUCACCAUAUACAAUGCAGCUUUGGUAGGGCAAAUACACUUUAUUGUACCCUGUAGUGUCCACACAGAGGACAUGACCGGCUACAACAGCUUCUGCUGCAACCACACUAAAGCUCAUCUCUUUUCAAAACUGGCUUUUAGCUAUUUGUGCUUUUUGGGAGUCUAUGGACUGACUUGCCUUUACACACUAUACUGGCUAUUCAGGCGCCCACUGAAGGAGUAUUCUUUCCGGUCAGUGAGAGAAGAAACUGGAAUAAGUGACAUUCCUGAUGUCAAGAAUGACUUUGCUUUUGUUCUUCAUCUUAUAGAUCAAUAUGACUCUCUCUACUCCAAAAGGUUUGCAGUGUUUUUAUCAGAGGUGAGUGAGAGUAGGCUGAGACAACUUAAUUUGAACCAUGAAUGGCCAGCAGAGAAGCUGAGGCAAAAACUUCAGCACACACCUGAAGGCCGGUUGGAGCUACAUCUUUUCAAGCUACCAGGUUUGCCCGAUUCAGUCUUUGAGGUGACUGAAACAGAAUCCCUUAAGUUGGAGAUGCUUAGCGAGGCACUCAUCCCUCCUCUAGUAACCAAAUUAGUCCGACUUGAAGAAUUAUCCCUUUUCAAUUGCCCAGCAAAAAUACAGCAUGCUUCCCUUGCGUACCUCAGGGACCGCCUUAGAGUCCUUCAAAUUAAGUUUGAGGACAUUAAGGAGAUACCACUCUGGGUCUUCAGUCUUCGAGCCCUAGAGGAGCUACACCUGUUUGGCUACCUAUCCCAGGACAUGUCAAAAAAUGUAACACUGGAAAGCCUGCGAGAGUUAAAAAGUCUUAAGGUGUUAACACUCAAAAGCAAUCUCUCUAAAGUGCCUCCCACUGUCACAGAUGUGGCUGGCCAUCUGCAGAAACUUAUAAUACACAAUGAUGGAACAAAGCUUUUAACUCUCAAUGCUCUGAAAAGACUGUCUCUACUCAAAGACCUAGAGUUGAUCCGUUGUGAUCUAGAAAGAAUUCCUCAUGCAGUUUUCAGUCUGAACAACCUACAACUCCUGGAUUUAAAGGAGAAUAACCUGCACACCAUAGAGGAAAUUAUAAGUUUGCAGCACUGCCGCAAACUAAGUGUUCUACGUCUGUGGCACAAUCAAAUAGCCUACAUUCCAGAUCACAUCCGGAAACUCAAGAGUUUAGAAGAGCUGUCUUUCAAUCGCAACAAGAUUCUUGUAUUGCCACCUCAACUUUUCCUAUGUACCAAGCUCCGUCAUCUUGACCUGUCCUUCAAUGAGAUUAGAGAGCUUCCCCCAGAGGUUGGGGUUUUACAGCUGCUUCAGUUUCUCUCAUUGACUGGUAACUUUUUAGAAGAACUUCCCAACGAGCUGUUCUUCUGUCAGAAGUUAAAAACUCUUAAGCUGGGACAGAAUAGGUUGGCAAGUUUAUCCACAAAGAUUGGAUCUCUGACCGCUCUGGUAAAGCUUGAGUUAAAGGGAAACAAGAUAGAUUUCCUGCCCCCAGAGAUAGGUGGAUGUGUUAGCCUGAAAAAGUCUGGCUUAGUGGUAGAACAGUUGUUAAUUGACACACUCCCAAGUGAUGUCAGAGAGAAACUGAGUGAGGACUAAAGAUGCAGAUGAAACAGAGUAUGGUGAUAAGCUUUAAUAGUCUAAAAGCAAGGGGUAUAACAAAAAGGCAGUUUGAGAACAGAAGUGAGAGCAGGUAGAAAUUUGAAACCAUAAAAAAAUAAAUUUUGACAACUAAACAGUGACCUUUGUCAUUAUAAGAAAAGUGUAAUUUUAGAGCGGAACAUAGAAAAAAAAAGUUAACAUUAGAGAAUAGCACAAACUGCUCCCACUGGGACGUCUAAAGAUUGAUAAGCAGGAUCAUUACUCUUAGUAGUUGGGCUAAGUGUGUGCUCACUAGACUGCCUUCUAAAUUAGAGCCAAAGCACCUAAAUUAUGAAUGAGAUUUUAUUCCUCCAAAAGGGGGCUGUGCAACGUUCCAACUUCAUUGCAGGUUUAAGUGUGUCCACGACCACUUUGGUAGAAUGAAAUGUCCAUGUAUAAUUAUGGUGCUGCAGCUCUUUUGUGUUUGGGAAUUCUGUUAUUCACACCCCAGUUUUUGACCCAUUAGGAGAGAGCAGUAGAUGCUAGUGACUUUUAGAUUAGCUAUUUUAUUAAUUGCCUAGAAAAAACAUCUAGAAGAAGCACAUAAAUGUUUCUCUUGUAUGGACUUGCCCCUUUACUAAGGUCUUCUAAGUGAACAUACAUUUAAAAAAAUUAAAUACUGCAAAUAUGCCUUCAAGGCAGGUGUAAGACUUGCCACAUCUCAAGAAACUGGAACACUCCUAAAAAUGAAAUUACUUUGGACAAAACCGGUUUUAUUUUUUUGGAGGGCUAGGUGCAGCAUUGGGUAAAUGGCACCUAACCUGAUUUAUCCACUACUUGGGUUACUUAAACAGCCACAACAGCAUUGGGUCAAUGUACACUUUUAUUUUUUAUUUAAAUUAUUUGAUGAAAUAAUAAAACCUUUUAUAAAAUGC
Pelobates cultripes (western spadefoot toad) is the source of this 4977-nucleotide non-coding RNA. NCBI's taxonomy places the organism in Eukaryota, Metazoa, Chordata, Amphibia, Anura, Pelobatidae. The record is from the annotation of a GenBank genome assembly.